AGAGUUUGAUCCUGGCUCAGGACGAACGCUGGCGGCGUGCUUAACACAUGCAAGUCGAACGGAAAGGCCCUUCGGGGUACUCGAGUGGCGAACGGGUGAGUAACACGUGGGUGAUCUGCCCUGCACUUUGGGAUAAGCCUGGGAAGCUGGGUCUAAUACCGAAUAUGACCACGCUCUUCAUGGGGUGUGGUGGAAAGCUUUUGCGGUGUGGGAUGGGCCCGCGGCCUAUCAGCUUGUUGGUGGGGUAAUGGCCUACCAAGGCGACGACGGGUAGCCGGCCUGAGAGGGUGACCGGCCACACUGGGACUGAGAUACGGCCCAGACUCCUACGGGAGGCAGCAGUGGGGAAUAUUGCACAAUGGGCGCAAGCCUGAUGCAGCGACGCCGCGUGAGGGAUGACGGCCUUCGGGUUGUAAACCUCUUUCACCAGGGACGAAGCGCAAGUGACGGUACCUGGAGAAGAAGCACCGGCCAACUACGUGCCAGCAGCCGCGGUAAUACGUAGGGUGCGAGCGUUGUCCGGAAUUACUGGGCGUAAAGAGCUCGUAGGUGGUUUGUCGCGUUGUUCGUGAAAACUCACAGCUUAACUGUGGGCGUGCGGGCGAUACGGGCAGACUAGAGUACUGCAGGGGAGACUGGAAUUCCUGGUGUAGCGGUGGAAUGCGCAGAUAUCAGGAGGAACACCGGUGGCGAAGGCGGGUCUCUGGGCAGUAACUGACGCUGAGGAGCGAAAGCGUGGGGAGCGAACAGGAUUAGAUACCCUGGUAGUC
This 770-nucleotide ribosomal RNA is filed under the name uncultured bacterium. RNAcentral's name for it is "bacterial SSU rRNA". It matches the Rfam family "Bacterial small subunit ribosomal RNA", at positions 8 to 795 of the family's 1533-position model. The record is from RNAcentral.